This 245-nucleotide ribosomal RNA is filed under the name uncultured Peptostreptococcus sp. RNAcentral's name for it is "partial 16S ribosomal RNA". It matches the Rfam family "Bacterial small subunit ribosomal RNA", at positions 111 to 355 of the family's 1533-position model. The record is from RNAcentral. Lineage: Bacteria; Bacillati; Bacillota; Clostridia; Peptostreptococcales; Peptostreptococcaceae.
UAACGCGUGGGUAACCUGCCCUAUACACAUGGAUAACAUACUGAAAAGUUUACUAAUACAUGAUAAUAUAUAUUUACGGCAUCGUAGAUAUAUCAAAGUGUUAGCGGUAUAGGAUGGACCCGCGUCUGAUUAGCUAGUUGGUGAGAUAACUGCCCACCAAGGCGACGAUCAGUAGCCGACCUGAGAGGGUGAUCGGCCACAUUGGAACUGAGACACGGUCCAAACUCCUACGGGAGGCAGCAGCC